RNAcentral lists this ribosomal RNA (253 nucleotides) under uncultured bacterium. RNAcentral's name for it is "partial 16S ribosomal RNA". It matches the Rfam family "Bacterial small subunit ribosomal RNA", at positions 524 to 776 of the family's 1533-position model. The record is from RNAcentral.
UACGAGGGGUGCAAGCGUUGCUCGGAAUUAUUGGGCGUAAAGGGUAGGUAGGUGGUCUCAUUUGUCUAGGGUGAAAGCCUUGAGCUUAACUCAAGAAGUGCCCUAGAAACGGUGAGACUGGAGUCUUGGAGAGGGUCGUGGAAUUUCCGGUGGAGCGGUGAAAUGCGUAGAGAUCGGAAAGAACACCAACGGCGAAAGCACUCUGCUGGGCCGACACUGACACUGAGAGACGAAAGCUAGGGGAGCGAAUGGG